RNAcentral lists this unclassified non-coding RNA (254 nucleotides) under uncultured bacterium. RNAcentral's name for it is "contains 16S-23S intergenic spacer region". It matches the Rfam family "Bacterial small subunit ribosomal RNA", at positions 524 to 776 of the family's 1533-position model. The record is from RNAcentral.
UACAGAGGUGGCAAGCGUUGUUCGGAUUCACUGGGUGUAAAGGGCACGUAGGCGGUUCAGUAAGUCGGUCGUGAAAUCCCAUGGCUCAACCAUGGAACUGCGGCCGAAACUGCUAGACUAGAGGGUGGGAGAGGAAGAUGGAAUUCCCGGUGUAAGGGUGAAAUCUGUAGAUAUCGGGAAGAACACCAGCGGCGAAAGCGAUCUUCUGGCCCAUUUCUGACGCUCAUUGUGCGAAAGCUGGGGGAGCGAACGGG